UCUCCGUUGGUGAACCAGCGGAGGGAUCAUUACCGAGUUUACAACUCCCAAACCCCUGUGAACAUACCAUUUGUUGCCUCGGCGUUGCCUGCUUCGGCAGCCCGCCAGAGGACCCAAACCCUUGAUUUUAUCCAGUAUCUUCUGAGUAAAUGAUUAAAUAAAUCAAAACUUUCAACAACGGAUCUCUUGGUUCUG
Molecule: unclassified non-coding RNA, 195 nt
Filed under: plant metagenome
Description: partial contains small subunit ribosomal RNA, internal transcribed spacer 1, and 5.8S ribosomal RNA
Source: RNAcentral